Non-coding RNA from Pelobates cultripes (western spadefoot toad), 241 nucleotides. Lineage: Eukaryota; Metazoa; Chordata; Amphibia; Anura; Pelobatidae. The record is from the annotation of a GenBank genome assembly.
AUCUGUUUCUCCUGACUAAACAUAAGCUGACAGCUGCCCAAAAUAGUAAUCUUUGCUCGUUUUAUUUUCCCUUUUUUUCUUUAAAAUGCAACAAACGUAUGACGUAUCAAAAGUUAAUCUUAAAGCGUACAAAAUAAUCUUGUGAAUUUCCCUGUAUAAAAAAAAGAAAAAGUGCAAUGUUUUUGAUGCCAUACUACUGUUACCAUGUGAAUUCAAACUGGUUUGCACCAGCUGAUGUGGC